UACGUAGGGGGCAAGCGUUGUCCGGAAUUAUUGGGCGUAAAGAGCGCGUAGGCGGUCCGGUAAGUCGGUUGUGAAAGUCGGGGGCUCAACCCUCGGAUGCCGAUCGAUACUGUCGGGCUAGAGUCCGGAAGAGGCGAGUGGAAUUCCUGGUGUAGCGGUGAAAUGCGCAGAUAUCAGGAGGAACACCAAUGGCGAAGGCAGCUCGCUGGGACGGUACUGACGCUGAGGCGCGAAAGCGUGGGGAGCAAACGGG
Molecule: ribosomal RNA, 253 nt
Filed under: uncultured bacterium
Lineage: Bacteria
Description: partial 16S ribosomal RNA
Rfam family: Bacterial small subunit ribosomal RNA
Source: RNAcentral